Mus pahari (shrew mouse) is the source of this 392-nucleotide long non-coding RNA. RefSeq lists it as uncharacterized. The transcript has 3 exons. Lineage: Eukaryota; Metazoa; Chordata; Mammalia; Rodentia; Muridae. The record is from RefSeq and is a predicted model, not a curated record.
CUUCAGGUACUGGGAGAGACCACUCAUUCUUCCCCAAGAUAGAAGUGUGUGGAGCAAAAUGCUGGCGUUAUGAUAACGAGUUCCUGUCUCUGGUGUUUACACUUCCCAGUUUGAAUGUGACUGCUGCACUACAUCAUCCUCACUAACUAUUUCUUGGGUCUGCAGUGUCCACUUGACAUAUCAAAGACAUUCACUUACACUUCUGUGCUCUGCUCAGCUCCUGGGCCAACAGUUUAUUAAUCUGGAGUUGUCGAGACUUCUCCAGUGGAUGUGACUUCAGCAGUGCUGGUGAGUUCAGGCGUGGUGGUGACAUCAGGAGUUGUAUAUAGAUCCAGGCUGUUCUCAGUCCUGGUUAAAGAGGAUUGCUCUUGUAAUGGGCUGCAGUCAAUAGA